Molecule: ribosomal RNA, 497 nt
Filed under: uncultured bacterium
Lineage: Bacteria
Description: partial 16S ribosomal RNA
Rfam family: Bacterial small subunit ribosomal RNA
Source: RNAcentral
GAUGAACGCUGGCGGCGUGCCUAAUACAUGCAAGUCGAGCGAACAGACGAGGAGUUUGUUCCUUUGACGUUAGCCGCGCACGGGUGAGUAACACGUGGAUAACCUACCUAUAAGACUGGGAUAACCUCGGGACACCGGAUCUAAUACCGUAUAAUAUAUUUAUCCGCAUGGUUCAAUAGUGAAGGACGUUGUUGCUGUCUCUUAUAGAUGGUUCCGAGCUGCAUUAGCUGGUAGGUAAGGACACGGCAUACCAAGGCAACGAUGCGUAACCGACAUGACAGAGUGGUCCGCCACACUGGCACUGAGACACGGUGCAGACACCUAGGGGAGGAAGCAGUAGAGAAUCUUACGCAAUGGGGGAAAGCGUGACGGAGCAACGCGGAGUGAGUGAUGAAGGUCUUCGGAUCGUAAAACUAUGUUAUUAGGGAAGAACAAAUGUGUAAGUAACUGUGCACGUAUUGACGGUACCUAAACAGAAAGCCACGGCUAACUACGUG